UCCGGUUUGUCACCGGCAGUCCCAUUAGAGUGCCCAACUAAAUGUAGCAACUAAUGGUAAGGGUUGCGCUCGUUGCGGGACUUAACCCAACAUCCCACGACACGAGCUGACGACAGCCAUGCAGCACCUGUGUCCAGGUUCCCUUUCGGGCACCUCCACAUCUCUGCGGAGUUCCUGGCAUGUCAAGGGUAGGUAAGGUUCUUCGCGUUGCGUCGAAUUAAACCACAUGCUCCACCGCUUGUGCGGGCCCCCGUCAAUUCCUUUGAGUUUCAGCCUUGCGGCCGUACUCCCCAGGCGGGGCACUUAAUGCGUUAGCGCCGGCACUCGGAGGGUCGCUCCCCCAAGCACCUAGUGCCCAUCGUUUACGGCGUGGACUAC
RNAcentral lists this unclassified non-coding RNA (378 nucleotides) under uncultured bacterium. RNAcentral's name for it is "contains 16S-23S intergenic spacer region". The record is from RNAcentral.